This 1263-nucleotide ribosomal RNA is filed under the name Triticum aestivum (bread wheat). RNAcentral describes it as "partial small subunit ribosomal RNA". Lineage: Eukaryota; Viridiplantae; Streptophyta; Magnoliopsida; Poales; Poaceae. The record is from RNAcentral.
AUGGAGAUUGCCUACCCCUACGGCGGGGAGCUCACCAGGAAGCACGGCUUCGUCACAGGCGAGCCUUUUGACGCCAAGACCGGCAUCAUGUCCGGCCAGAAGCGCGCGAGGGAGAUGGAGAUCCUUCGGCAGCGCUUCCAAUCCGAGCUCGUCGCCGUCCGUCGCCUCCUCCACAAGGCGGCCGCCGUGCUAGCUCCCGCAUCAUCCCCGUCGGCUCCCCGCGUCAAGGAGAGUCGUCCAGGGUUCUUGGCCGAGGAGCCGCUGGCCAAGAAGAGGAAGGCGUCCCCUCCCGUUCCUCUGAUCAAGAGCAAGAAGGCGCCCAGGAAGAAGAUGAUGACGGGCUCUGAGAGGGAGAUACUCGCGGAAGACCUGAAGCUGUUCGUUGCGGAGAUCCCCGAUCACGUCGUCGAGCUCUUGAAGAAGCACAGCUGCGCCACCCGCCCCGGCGAAAUCGAGAUCGACGUCCACGCGUUGGAUGACGCCGCCGCCGUCGAGUUACAGGAGCAGGUUGACAAGUUCGCUCGAGAGAGGAGAACGGCGAAUCCGUCGCUGCAAGAACGACACCAAGACGGCCCUAAGGUGAUGGCCCAAGAGGAGGAGGACGACGACGAAGAAGUUGACAUCUGUGGCGGCGUCUCCCCCUUAGCGAUCAUGCCGGCACCUCUGGCCCAAGAACGGCACCAAGACGACCCUAAGGCCAUGGCCGAAGAGGAGGAGGAGGAAGAUGUUGACAUCUGUGGUGGCGUCUCCCCCUUACCGAUAGUGCCGGCACCUCUUCUGCUCGUCGAAGAUGAAACAGCCAGUGGCUGUGGCAGCCCAAGCUCCAGCAGCAGCAGUUCGGAUACUGAUUCUUCCAGCGACAGCGAUUCAGAUACUGAUUCCGGCAGCAGCGACUCCGGCGGCAGUGACUCAGAUUCUGAUUCAGACGAGAUCGUCGACAGCCCAGCUCCUCCAACAUGCGAGCAGCUCGCCCGUGCUCUGGAAAGGCAGCGAAAGGAGGCCACGUCCCGGGCGAGGGAGAAGGCCCGUCAGGAGCUGCUAGAGACGGAGAGGACGGCAAUGCCCGACGAUACCCUACACCCAGAGGAUCUGAAGAGGCUCGGCAUUGAUGAGUACAACACGGCGAGGCCCAACAACUACAACUUGUUGCGGCAGAUUGGACUCUUCCGCAAGCUUGACAACGAUGACUGGAAGCAGCAGCAGCAUUAUCAUCAUCGUCAAAGCUUCGAAGAAGACCUAGAGGAAGGCGAGAUUCGGUCGUGA